This 515-nucleotide ribosomal RNA is filed under the name uncultured bacterium. Its description in RNAcentral is "bacterial SSU rRNA". It matches the Rfam family "Bacterial small subunit ribosomal RNA", at positions 402 to 916 of the family's 1533-position model. The record is from RNAcentral.
UGGGGGAUGAAGCAUUUCGGUGUGUAAACCCCUGUUGCUCGGGACGAACAAGCGAUUUUGAUCGCUCUGACGGUACCGGGUGAGGAAGCACCGGCUAACUCCGUGCCAGCAGCCGCGGUAAUACGGAGGGUGCGAGCGUUGUCCGGAAUCACUGGGCGUAAAGGGCGCGUAGGCGGUCUGCUAAGCGUGUGGUGAAAGCUCGGGGCUCAACCCCGAGUCUGCCAUGCGAACUGGUGGACUAGAGCACUGUAGAGGCGAGUGGAAUUCCGGGUGUAGCGGUGGAAUGCGUAGAGAUCCGGAAGAACACCGGUGGCGAAGGCGGCUCGCUGGGCAGUAGCUGACGCUGAGGCGCGAUAGCGUGGGGAGCAAACAGGAUUAGAUACCCUGGUAGUCCACGCCGUAAACGAUGGGGACUAGGUGCUUGGGGGAGCGACCCCUCGAGUGCCGGCGCUAACGCAUUAAGUCCCCCGCCUGGGGAGUACGGCCGCAAGGCUGAAACUCAAAGGAAUUGACGG